AAUAGUUUAAAGGUUAGAACUUGGCAAUCAUAAUGCUACAAUAAAGGUUCGAAUCCUUUUU
Molecule: transfer RNA, 61 nt
Filed under: Emiliania huxleyi
Lineage: Eukaryota; Haptophyta; Isochrysidales; Noelaerhabdaceae
Rfam family: tRNA
About the family: Transfer RNA (tRNA) molecules are approximately 80 nucleotides in length. Their secondary structure includes four short double-helical elements and three loops (D, anti-codon, and T loops). Further hydrogen bonds mediate the characteristic L-shaped molecular structure. tRNAs have two regions of fundamental functional importance: the anti-codon, which is responsible for specific mRNA codon recognition, and the 3' end, to which the tRNAs corresponding amino acid is attached (by aminoacyl-tRNA synthetases). tRNAs cope with the degeneracy of the genetic code in two manners: having more than one tRNA (with a specific anti-codon) for a particular amino acid; and 'wobble' base-pairing, i.e. permitting non-standard base-pairing at the 3rd anti-codon position.
Source: RNAcentral